This is a regulatory RNA element of Ovis aries (sheep), 65 nucleotides long. It matches the Rfam family "Selenocysteine insertion sequence 1". Rfam says of the family: The incorporation of selenocysteine into a protein sequence is directed by an in-frame UGA codon (usually a stop codon) within the coding region of the mRNA. Selenoprotein mRNAs contain a conserved secondary structure in the 3' UTR that is required for the distinction of UGA stop from UGA selenocysteine. The record is from Rfam. NCBI's taxonomy places the organism in Eukaryota, Metazoa, Chordata, Mammalia, Artiodactyla, Bovidae.
GUGUGCAAAUGAUAACUGCUAACGAAAGAGUCCUUGACUCAGUUAGUGGUUGGAUGUAGUCACAC